UGGGGAAUAUUGCACAAUGGGCGCAAGCCUGAUGCAGCCAUGCCGCGUGUAUGAAGAAGGCCUUCGGGUUGUAAAGUACUUUCAGCGGGGAGGAAGGGAGUAAAGUUAAUACCUUUGCUCAUUUACGUUACCCGCAGAAGAAGCACCGGCUAACUUCGUUCCAGCAGCCGCGGUAAUACGGAGGGUGCAAGCGUUAAUCGGAAUUACUGGGCGUAAAGCGCACGCAGGCGGUUUGUUAAGUCAGAUGUGAAAUCCCCGGGCUCAACCUGGGAACUGCAUCUGAUACUGGCAAGCUUGAGUCUCGUAGAGGGGGGUAGAGUUCCAGGUGUGGCGGUGAAAUGCGUAGAGAUCUGGAGGAAUACCGGUGGCGAAGGCGGCCCCCUGGACGAAGACUGAAGAUCAAGUGCGAAAGCGUGGGGAGCAAACGGG
This 429-nucleotide ribosomal RNA is filed under the name Chloroflexota bacterium. RNAcentral describes it as "Chloroflexi bacterium partial 16S ribosomal RNA". It matches the Rfam family "Bacterial small subunit ribosomal RNA", at positions 355 to 776 of the family's 1533-position model. Lineage: Bacteria; Bacillati; Chloroflexota. The record is from RNAcentral.